GCCAGCAGCCGCGGUAAUACGUAGGAAGCAAGCGUUAUCCGGAUUUAUUGGGCGUAAAGUGAGCGUAGGUGGUCUUUCAAGUUGGAUGUGAAAUUUCCCGGCUUAACCGGGACGUGUCAUUCAAUACUGUUGGACUAGAGUACAGCAGGAGAAAACGGAAUUCCCGGUGUAGUGGUAAAAUGCGUAGAUAUCGGGAGGAACACCAGAGGCGAAGGCGGUUUUCUAGGUUGUCACUGACACUGAGGCUCGAAAGCGUGGGGAGCGAACAGAAUUAGAUACUCUGGUAGUCCACGCCUUAAACUAUGGACACUAAGUAUAGGGAGUAUCGACCCUCUCUGUGCCGAAGCUAACGCUUUAAGUGUCCCGCCUGGGGAGUACGGUCGCAAGGCUAAAACUCAAAGGAAUUGACGGGGGCCCGCACAAGCAGCGGAGCGUGUGGUUUAAUUCGAUGCUACACGAAGAACCUUACCAAGAUUUGACAUGCAUGAAGUAGUGAACCGAAAGGGAAACGACCUGUUAAGUCAGGAGUUUGCACAGGUGCUGCAUGGCUGUCGUCAGCUCGUGCCGUGAGGUGUUUGGUUAAGUCCUGCAACGAGCGCAACCCUUGUUGCUAGUUAAAUUUUCUAGCGAGACUGCCCCGCGAAACGGGGAGGAAGGUGGGGAUGACGUCAAGUCAGCAUGGCCUUUAUAUCUUGGGCUACACACACGCUACAAUGGACAGAACAAUAGGUUGCAACAGUGUGAACUGGAGCUAAUCCUCAAAGCUGUCCUCAGUUCGGAUUGCAGGCUGAAACCCGCCUGCAUGAAGUUGGAGUUGCUAGUAACCGCAUAUCAGCAAGGUGCGGUGAAUACGUUCUCGGGCCUUGUACACACCGCCCGU
RNAcentral lists this ribosomal RNA (880 nucleotides) under uncultured Dehalococcoides sp. RNAcentral's name for it is "bacterial SSU rRNA". It matches the Rfam family "Bacterial small subunit ribosomal RNA", at positions 507 to 1397 of the family's 1533-position model. The record is from RNAcentral. Lineage: Bacteria; Bacillati; Chloroflexota; Dehalococcoidia; Dehalococcoidales; Dehalococcoidaceae.